This is a non-coding RNA of Mycena latifolia, 91 nucleotides long. NCBI's taxonomy places the organism in Eukaryota, Fungi, Basidiomycota, Agaricomycetes, Agaricales, Mycenaceae. The record is from the annotation of a GenBank genome assembly.
CACCUGAUGGCACAAGGUGUGCAUCUGCAGGAUAUGUAGGGAUUUCUAUAUUGAUAUGCAGAAGGUCUUCGUUCGAUUCGGGGUCGGGUGA